GCGAGAGUGGCGGAAUUGGUAGACGCGCCAGACUUAGGAUCUGGUGGGGCGACCUGUGGGGGUUCGAGUCCCCCCUCUCGUA
Molecule: transfer RNA, 82 nt
Filed under: Chitinispirillum alkaliphilum
Lineage: Bacteria; Pseudomonadati; Fibrobacterota; Chitinispirillia; Chitinispirillales; Chitinispirillaceae
Description: tRNA-Leu
Rfam family: tRNA
About the family: Transfer RNA (tRNA) molecules are approximately 80 nucleotides in length. Their secondary structure includes four short double-helical elements and three loops (D, anti-codon, and T loops).
Source: RNAcentral